CGGAGAGGGAGCAUGAGAAACGGCUACCACUUCUAAGGAAGGCAGCAGGCGCGCAAAUUACCCAAUCCUGACUCAGGGAGGUAGUGACAAGAAAUAACAAUAAACCGGCUUAUGCCGGUUUAAUUGGAAUGAGUACAAUUUAAACAUCUUAACGAGGAACAAUUGGAGGGCAAGUCUGGUGCCAGCAGCCGCGGUAAUUCCAGCUCCAAUAGCGUAUACUAAAGUUGUUGCAGUUAAAAAGCUCGUAGUUGGAUUUCUGCGGGGACGGAGCGGCCGGUCGCAACUUGCGACUCGAGCUAGCGCUUUCCCCGCAUCCUGCCGCGAACCGUGCUACCAUUAGUUUGGUGGCGCUGGGGAUCGGCUCGAUUACUUUGAGAAAAAUAGAGUGUUCAAAGCAGGCCACACGCCUUGAAUAAGUUAGCAUGGAAUAAUGACUAAGGACUUUGGUUCUUUUCGUUGGUGUUCGGGACUGAAGUAAUGAUUGAUAGGGACAGUUGGGGCGGUCCGUAUUCCAAAGCGAGAGGUGAAAUUCUUAGACCUUCGGAAGACGAACAGCUGCGAAAGCGUUCCGCAAGGAUGUUCCCUUUGAUCAAGAACGAAAGUUGGGGGAUCGAAGACGAUCAGAUACCGUCGUAGUCUCGACUAUAAACUAUACCAGCUAGGGAUCGGCCAACGUUUAAUUAUUCGACUUGGUCGGCACCUUAUGAGAAAUCAAAGCAUCUGGGUUCCGGGGGGAGUAUGGUCGCAAGGCUGAAACUUAAAGGAAUUGACGGAAGGGCACCACCAGGCGUGGAGCCUGUGGCUUAAUUUGACUCAACACGGGAAAACUUACCAGGUCCAGACAUAGGAAGGAUUGACAGAUUGAUAGCUCUUUCUUGAUUCUGUGGGUGGUGGUGCAUGGCCGUUUUUAGUCGGUGAAGUGAUUUGUCUGCUUAAUUGCGUUAACGGACGAGACCCCAGCCUGCUAAAUAGCGCGGCCAAGCUUUGCUCGGUACGAGCUUCUUAGAGGGACCAUGAUGCGCGAUAGCACAAGGAAGUUUGGGGCAACAACAGGUCUGUGAUGCCCUUAGAUGUUCUGGGCCGCACACGGGCUACACUGGCGCCUGCAACGAGCAUAUCAGCUGGCCCGAGAGGGUCUUGGUUAAUCUUUGGAACCGGCGCCGUGCUUGGGAUUGACCAUUGCAAUUGUUGGUCAUGCAACGAGGAAUGCCUUGUAAACGCGAGUCAUCAGCUCGCAUUGAAUGCGUCCCUGCCCUUUGUACACACCGCCCGUCGCUCCUACCGAUGAAUGUUCCGAUGAAAUUUUCGGAGAGCGCCGGAGAACGGGGCUCUGCCCUGCAGAACUGGAGGCUCAAAGUCACUUAAAUCUGAACAUUUCGAGGAAGGAGAAGUCGUAACAAGGUAACC
RNAcentral lists this ribosomal RNA (1407 nucleotides) under uncultured Rhizaria. Its description in RNAcentral is "SSU rRNA". It matches the Rfam family "Eukaryotic small subunit ribosomal RNA", at positions 384 to 1804 of the family's 1831-position model. The record is from RNAcentral.